RNAcentral lists this ribosomal RNA (263 nucleotides) under uncultured archaeon. RNAcentral's name for it is "partial 16S ribosomal RNA". It matches the Rfam family "Archaeal small subunit ribosomal RNA", at positions 714 to 982 of the family's 1478-position model. The record is from RNAcentral.
AGACGUCUACAUUAGAUACCCCCGUAGUCCCAGCCGUAAACUAUGCGCGUUAGGUGUAUCGGUGACCACGAGUUACCGAGGUGCCGAAGGAAACCGUGAAACGUGCCGCCUGGGAAGUACGGUCGCAAGGCUGAAACUUAAAGGAAUUGGCGGGGAGCACCACAACAGGUGGAGCCUGCGGUUUAAUUGGACUCAACGCCGGGAAGCUCACCGGAUAGGACAGCAGAAUGAUUGCCGGGCUGAAGACCCUGCAUGACUAGCUG